Molecule: long non-coding RNA, 3506 nt
Organism: Gallus gallus (chicken)
Lineage: Eukaryota; Metazoa; Chordata; Aves; Galliformes; Phasianidae
Source: Ensembl
CUUCAGGUGUGAGAGUUGUGCUCAGCGUGGCUGCGAGUUGUGGAGGUGGCUCGAGGCAGGGGUGGGACUGUGCUUAAAAACAAAAUAAACGGAAAGCGAGAAUAAUAACAAUAAACAGCAAACUGAUUGAUCCCACUGCAAGCAUUUCUCUCGUUUUUCCUUUAAAUUCGUUCUUCUGUGCGAUACAACUCUCAAGGUUAGUACACCGAGUGGAAGAGAUUCACACUAAUGCGUUCCAGCCCCCAACCCUUACAUUUUUAAUGGUGUGCUUCCCUCCCAGCAUUUUUUUUAAACACUUGACCUAUUUUUUCCUAUUUUUCUCGUACGGUUUUCACCCGCAAAAUGUCCCAACGCUGUAGUAUUUUACAUAGAAUGUUAUUAUCACUAGGAGAUUUUAUGUAUGGUAAUAAUAAAUCUGUAAAACUCAGAUUGACGUCACAUUGCACACUGCCUACUUGUGUAUGUACGUUCUGUCUUCAUGCAGAUUUACGGUUGGUUUAAAGAGGCAUAAUCUUUAUUCACCCACUGAGACUACUUGUUUGCCUCGGAUGGGCGGACGUGUCUCGCUCCUGCUGCAGGUUAGGGAGAUGGGGAGCCAGCUAGGGCUGUACAUCUUCUCUCUUGGAAGGAAGCCCUCCUGACCCCGCUGCCCAGUUGGUUAGCGAUAGCAGAAGGGGAUGGAGGGCUGGCUUGCAGCUGGCGUGCACUGUUCAGCCCUGAUGCGAGAUGGCUGCUGUCAAACAGGUGGUGCCGCAUGCUUUACUUGUAGCAGCCUCACCAAUUAGCAGCACGUACUAUUAAAGCUCACAUAUCAACCUGCAAUACCGACCUCCAGAUACCAACCGGGAAUGCCAGCCUCUGUACACCAACGCAAAAUACAGCCUCCAAACCUAAGGCACCUCACCGAGCCGCAUCUGAAGGCAGCUUGAGAUCCUUCACCUAGGUUAGGGUUGCAGCGACUGGUUUCAACAGAAGCAGCACCUAACCUGGCCCCCUUAAUCGCUUUGCUUGUGACCUCUGGGAAUGCCAUGCGGCACGAGGCCUUUGGUGCUGGGUUUUCCUUUCAGCCUGUUGAGGUGCCUGGGGAUGGUGUGAUGCAAGGCCUCCUGCAUGUCGUCAUGACUCACUGAGGCCUGCUCUCUGCUGCUCAGAGCACUCGCCAAACCUGUUGGCUUUUUGCUCUAGGACCGUGUCUCGCAAGGUGUGUCAUAUGGCUGUCGGCGGAGACAUGGCAUUGAGGAAGCCACUGAGGGCUCUACAGAGUUGAGCUUGCACUUUGGCAGACUACCGAGCAUAAAAAACCUAGCACAAGGGAUAUCUUGAGAUGGAGCUGGAUGUAACCCAUUGUACUGCUUUGUAUUUUCUUGCUUCUCCUUUCUUCACGUGAUGCUCAUACGGCAAAGGAGCUGCCCCAGCCACGUGACAGCAGCGUUCAAUCCUUGCGAUGUGGGAGCUGCUGUUUGAUGCAGCGCAGCAGCCUUUGGGCUUUGUAAAAGGGGGACGAAAGGCACACUUUUUGUUUCAAAUGAAGCCUCUCCCACCUAAGGAAUUUUCUUGGUGAAAUUUGGAAACUAACUGAACAGAAAUUUGAAGUAAUUCAGCAAAAAUGGUAGGCCAAUCAAAGGCUGAACAGCCUCCUUCAUACAAGCCCUGCUUUUUGCGUGUGUUGGAAACCGUUUGCUUUCAAUUGUUGAACUGUGAUUAUUUGCCAGGGAAAUUGUCCAUGUGGUGAGGGAGGUUAACUGGCUGUGACGGUCCUGUGCCCGAUGGCACUGAGCAGCUCUCUGCACAUUUUUCUCCAUACGAAGGCAAGCUGUGCUGUGGGGUUUCAGGAUGCCGUGCCGGACAUAGGGCUUUGCCCAGUGCUGCAACUGAUUCAUUUGUCUUCUUUCUUUCUUUUUUUUUUUUUCUUUUUUAACUCUACAUAGAUGUGAAAUGGAUAUGAAAACAGAUGUGCAUUGUUUAGGCUGGACAAGUUGCAUGUGUCAUGAGAAAUAUGACAAAUGAAGAUAAGGGUUUUUUCUAGAGCUACGAUAAGAAUAACGAGUACUAUUUUUUUAUUAUUUUAUUUUAAAUUUUCUUUUAAUUUUUCCCUCCAAAUGGUCUGAAUCCCUUUGGAAUUUGUGCACGGAAGCCAGUAUGGGUUGGAACCCCAUGUCAGCUACAGCGCUUUCAGGAAACGUUUCUCCAGCUGUAUAAAAUGCUAUGGGCCAUACACACCACACCCUGCUCAUAGGAAAAGACUUGUUUAAGCCAGUAGAUAGCUCUGUUUGCUGGGUUGACACCGAGCGCGGGGAAGGCUUGGCUUGCCUGGGGGAUGGAUCAGGAUGUCAGAAAGCAGUCCCUAUUGAAUAGCAACAUCCUGGUACUGCGUUUUUGGUUUUAAAAGAAAUGUGCUCUAGGCAGUUCAAUAAAAGACAGUCAUUAAUUUCUGUACUCCGUGUCAUGCAUUUGAUGCGCAGCGAUAGCUGAGAACAGGUGCUUUCCAAAGAGCCAAAGAAUAGUGUGUCAGUGAAAGGGAAGAUGGUAGGUCUCCAACUCUGAUCGUGCUUGUGAUUUAAGGGUUUGGCUUGAUGAAUAAGACAUUUCUAAGCAGGCAAACCUAGAACGUACCCCCUAAAGUCUCACCAAAUACCGCAUAAUCCUUUUGAUCACUGACUGUGGUGGGAAGCAGCUGCUGAUUGCGCAGGGAAAGGCUUACCAUAAGCUUUUCGAAUGUACGCGAGUGAAUUAGGAGGAAUGAAAAAGUAACUCGUGUCCCCAUAAGGAAGUCCCUGGGACUUGACCUCUGUUGGUAACAAUUCCCAAGGCACCUACCACUUGUUUAAAAACUGCCAGCAGACCUCACUUUCUGAGGAGUACCACCACACCAAGGAAGCAUUUCUCUGCUGCUGUAGCAUCUGCAUUUUUUUAAUAACUCACCUGGAGUUAUCUGGAGUUAUUAUCAUCUGGAGGAUCAUGCUAAACGAUGAUGUCUAGAAGCAUGCCGGUUUGUUAGACACAUCUUUGCUGUCUAGGAGCCUGGCCUGCCCUGUCUCUUUUCUCUUCUUUUGGAUACCCAUAUUGUGUUCCAUAGUCUUGUUCAGUCACACGCAGACACCUGUCCUGAAUCACUCUGUGGCAUCAUCUCAAGCCAUCUCCUGUUUGAGCAUCCUGUGCUUGCCGCUCUUUGUUGAGCUAUGUUGCACCAUACUUAGGAUGCGACAGCCAUUUAAUAAUGUUGAAGCCUUAGCUCUGCAGGGGCUAAGAAGAUCCCAGCAGGCUUGUUAACUUCUACUCUCAGACAUUAUGGGAAAUAUUUUCUCCUCCCUGGAACUCCUAGGCAUCUUCUUAAUUAAGAUCAUAAAAAUCCAUGGCCAGGUUUGCGUUAAGCCUUUUGAAUUUUUUUGCAGCUUUCCAGAGCUUCCCCAUAUUUAACCAGCCACCACAGUGCCAAGUGAAGUACGGGAGCUUAAAUAAAGGCAGCCUGGAGGUCGUGCUGGAUGCUGCAUUCUUAGUGGGCUGCA